GAUGAACGCUGGCGGCGUGCCUAAUACAUGCAAGUCGAGCGAACAGAUGAGGAGCUUGCUCCUCUGACGUUAGCGGCGGACGGGUGAGUAACACGUGGAUAACCUACCUAUAAGACUGGGAUAACUUCGGGAAACCGGAGCUAAUACCGGAUAAUAUAUUGAACCGCAUGGUUCAAUAGUGAAUGACGGUUUUGCUGUCACUUAUAGAUGGAUCCGCGCCGCAUUAGCUAGUUGGUAAGUUAACGGCUUACGAAGGCAACGAUGCGUAGCCGACCUGAGAGGGUGAUAGGCCACACUGGAACUGAGACACGGUCCAGACGACUAAGGGAGGCAGCAGUAGGGAAUCUGCCGCAAUGGGCGAAAGCAUGACGGAGCAACGCGGAGUGAGUGAUGAAGGUCUUCGGAUCGUAAAACUCUGUUAUUAGGGAAGAACAGAUGUGUAAGGAACUAUGCACGUAGUGACGGUACCUAAUAAGAAAGCAACGGCUAACUACGUG
This 497-nucleotide ribosomal RNA is filed under the name uncultured bacterium. RNAcentral describes it as "partial 16S ribosomal RNA". It matches the Rfam family "Bacterial small subunit ribosomal RNA", at positions 28 to 507 of the family's 1533-position model. The record is from RNAcentral.